Hordeum vulgare subsp. vulgare (domesticated barley) is the source of this 1072-nucleotide long non-coding RNA. RefSeq lists it as uncharacterized. The transcript has 2 exons. The record is from RefSeq and is a predicted model, not a curated record. NCBI's taxonomy places the organism in Eukaryota, Viridiplantae, Streptophyta, Magnoliopsida, Poales, Poaceae.
CCCCACCCAUGUGUGCCACGGUGUUUCUCGCCACACUAUGUACCGUGCAGAGCGCGUCUUUUGCCGCCGACACGCCAUGACAAGCCCCGCUGUGGAAAGCAUGCCCCAUCGCAUAUUAGCCCGAACUUGGGAGCAAAAUGGAGCAGCCUCACACGCCAGUAUCUAAUCCAGCCCCACGCGCGCCUGCAAAUCCCCUAGAGUCGCCACGAUUUGUCGUUGGAGUUGUUCCCCCGCGGCACCCCCUCUCGUCUGCCUAUAAAAGGCACCCCGAGCAAUCGUGAAACCACCACACUCACCACACCUCACUACAGACCCGCCAAGACCAUUAGAGGGGCUCGGGAGGGCCUUCUUCCCCGCCUUUGGCCGCCCCGGCUUGUUUCCGGCUUCGGCUAAAUUAGCCCAUGUGGAGGCACCCCCGCAGCUUAGAUUUGGCCAGCGAGCUCCUCGAUCACCAGCCCUUCUAACCCGCGCGCGAAUUCGGUGAGUGCAGGCCUCUCCAUCGAGAUCCCACUGCACCCGAAACACCGCCCGCUGGAGUUUGGAGUUGUCGUUGACGUGGUACCCGCUGGCAUGUGACUCCACCUCCAUCAUCUGCAGAACCUCCUGGUGACUGCACCCGCAUGCUCUUUCCCCUCUGUUUCGCUACAGGACGCCGUCGGCGACAUCGCGAGCCUCUGCCACUCGCGAGAUAUGGAUGAAGGAGACCUCAUGGAUGAAGAGUACGGUAGAGAGUCUGGCGCCUAGAGGUGUAUGAGUCAGUCGUGCGAUCAUGGAGUCCGUCAUUGUAUUAUUUCACUGUCGUGCGAUCAUGGAGUCCGUCAUUGUAUUAUUUCACUGCUUCCGCCACCACAAAUAAAUCAUCAAGCCUCACUCUCGCGCUUGGCGUGUAGUAGUACUUAUGGCAUGUCACGUCACUCUAAUGUGCCAUGCCCACCUUAUGCGAGGAGUAGAGUUAUCCCAUGACCACUGUAAUAUAUCUGUCCUUAUGAUAGUGUGGGAGUGUUGUAAUAAACUGUAGGGCGACCUCCGCUCUACCCUGUUUAAUAUUAAGUACUACUCAUUUCUGUAUCAA